CACUGCUUCCUGGAUUCCACACCAACAGCAGCUGUUCCUCCGCCAUGGCCCUGUGCAUGCUGUCCUGCCUAGGGCCCAGUGGACCAUGGACUGAAACUUACAAGCUAAAGCUUCAGAAACCCAGAGGUCAUUGUAUCUGAAUAUCUGAACAGCCUUACUUUCAAGAGACACAACCAGGAAUUCACUGGCUUUGGGGAAUAUCAGGAUACAUUAACACCACCUAGCUGCAGUGCUUCCCACACCUGUCACAACUCUAGCAACUCUCUUCUCAGAAUGCCUUUACCUUAUUCCUAUUAAUUCAGUGAUUUUAGCCUUUAGUCCAGGGCUUCCCAUUUAUUACUGUUCAAAUGUACACUCGGAGGUGGGGCAACUCCUGAAGAAAUCUGGGCAAGGCUGAAGGAAUCUUCAUGAGUGAACAAAGCGGAGGAUGGAAGAGGAGGUGGACUCACAAAGAGCAGAAGGAAUUGCACUUCAAUGCCAAUGGAGUCCCCCACAGUCAAGCUACUUUCCCUUCUUCCUGGCUAAUUUCUCAAAUUCUGUCCUUCUCUCCAUGUUUUCCAUCGCAAAGUCCAAAUCACUUUUGCUCAUCUGUGGAAGAAAUUCCCUCACCGUGCAGAA
This is a long non-coding RNA of Fukomys damarensis (Damara mole-rat), 618 nucleotides long. RefSeq lists it as uncharacterized. The record is from RefSeq and is a predicted model, not a curated record. Lineage: Eukaryota; Metazoa; Chordata; Mammalia; Rodentia; Bathyergidae. The transcript has 2 exons.